AGCCGGAAAGCUCAGUGGUAGAG
Molecule: transfer RNA, 23 nt
Filed under: Bryum sauteri
Lineage: Eukaryota; Viridiplantae; Streptophyta; Bryopsida; Bryales; Bryaceae
Description: partial tRNA-Phe
Source: RNAcentral